RNAcentral lists this ribosomal RNA (465 nucleotides) under Vreelandella stevensii. RNAcentral describes it as "partial 16S ribosomal RNA". It matches the Rfam family "Bacterial small subunit ribosomal RNA", at positions 338 to 795 of the family's 1533-position model. The record is from RNAcentral. Lineage: Bacteria; Pseudomonadati; Pseudomonadota; Gammaproteobacteria; Oceanospirillales; Halomonadaceae.
CCUCCUUUUUUCUUCCGUGGGGAAUAUUGGACAAUGGGGGCAACCCUGAUCCAGCCAUGCCGCGUGUGUGAAGAAGGCCCUCGGGUUGUAAAGCACUUUCAGUGAGGAAGAACGCCUGGUGGUUAAUACCCAUCAGGAAAGACAUCACUCACAGAAGAAGCACCGGCUAACUCCGUGCCAGCAGCCGCGGUAAUACGGAGGGUGCGAGCGUUAAUCGGAAUUACUGGGCGUAAAGCGCGCGUAGGUGGCUUGAUAAGCCGGUUGUGAAAGCCCCGGGCUCAACCUGGGAACGGCAUCCGGAACUGUCAAGCUAGAGUGCAGGAGAGGAAGGUAGAAUUCCCGGUGUAGCGGUGAAAUGCGUAGAGAUCGGGAGGAAUACCAGUGGCGAAGGCGGCCUUCUGGACUGACACUGACACUGAGGUGCGAAAGCGUGGGUAGCAAACAGGAUUAGAUACCCCUGUAGUC